UGCCGGUGAGCGCCGGUGCGUCGGCGCCGCUGGCGGUGGCCCCGACGGGCUUGCCCGGUUCCUUGGGUUCCAGCACCGGUUUGGCGUCC
Molecule: transfer RNA, 89 nt
Filed under: Streptomyces avidinii
Lineage: Bacteria; Bacillati; Actinomycetota; Actinomycetes; Kitasatosporales; Streptomycetaceae
Description: tRNA-Ala(ggc)
Source: RNAcentral